This 686-nucleotide ribosomal RNA is filed under the name uncultured equine intestinal eubacterium sp. DW09. Its description in RNAcentral is "bacterial SSU rRNA". It matches the Rfam family "Bacterial small subunit ribosomal RNA", at positions 797 to 1482 of the family's 1533-position model. The record is from RNAcentral.
CGGCAGUAAACGGUGCAUGCUGGGUGUGUGCGGAAUCGACCCCGUACGUGCCUGAGUUAACACGUUAAGCAUGCCGCCUGGGGAGUACGGUCGCAAGAUUAAAACUCAAAGAAAUUGACGGGGACCCGCACAAGCGGUGGAGUAUGUGGCUUAAUUCGAUGCAACGCGAAGAACCUUACCAAGGCUUGACAUCCCGUGACCGCCUGUGAAAGCAGGUUUUUUCUUCGGAAACACGGAGACAGGUGCUGCAUGGCCGUCGUCAGCUCGUGUCGUGAGAUGUUUGGUUAAGUCCAGCAACGAGCGCAACCCCUGCUGCCAGUUACCAUCAUUAAGUUGGGGACUCUGGCGGGACUGCCCAGAUCAACUGGGAGGAAGGUGGGGACGACGUCAGGUCAGUAUGGCCCUUAUGCCUUGGGCUGCACACGUACUACAAUGCCCAGUACAGAGGGAAGCAAGCGAGCGAUCGCAAGCAGAUCCCGAAAAGUGGGCCCAGUUCGGAUUGGAGGCUGCAACCCGCCUCCAUGAAGCCGGAAUCGCUAGUAAUGGCGCAUCAGCUACGGCGCCGUGAAUACGUUCCCGGGUCUUGUACACACCGCCCGUCACAUCAUGGAAGCCGGUCGCACCCGAAGUAUCCGGAGCCAACCGAAAGGAGGCAGGGUCCUAAGGCGAGACUGGUAACUGGGAUG